AACGAACGCUGGCGGCAUGCCUAACACAUGCAAGUCGAACGAGACCUUCGGGUCUAGUGGCGCACGGGUGCGUAACGCGUGGGAACCUGCCCUUAGGUUCGGAAUAACUCCCCGAAAGGGGUGCUAAUACCGGAUAAGGUCUUCGGACCAAAGAUUUAUCGCCUUUGGAUGGGCUCGCGUUGGAUUAGCUAGUUGGUAGGGUAAAAGCCUACCAAGGCGACGAUCCAUAGCUGGUCUGAGAGGAUGAUCAGCCACACUGGGACUGAGACACGGCCCAGACUCCUACGGGAGGCAGCAGUGGGGAAUAUUGGACAAUGGGCGAAAGCCUGAUCCAGCAAUGCCGCGUGAGUGAUGAAGGCCUUAGGGUUGUAAAGCUCUUUUACCCGGGAUGAUAAUGACAGUACCGGGAGAAUAAGCUCCGGCUAACUCCGUG
This 433-nucleotide ribosomal RNA is filed under the name uncultured bacterium. RNAcentral describes it as "partial 16S ribosomal RNA". It matches the Rfam family "Bacterial small subunit ribosomal RNA", at positions 29 to 507 of the family's 1533-position model. The record is from RNAcentral.